Molecule: ribosomal RNA, 305 nt
Filed under: uncultured bacterium
Lineage: Bacteria
Description: bacterial SSU rRNA
Rfam family: Bacterial small subunit ribosomal RNA
Source: RNAcentral
ACCUACGGGAGGCAGCAGUGGGGGAUAUUGCACAAUGGGGGGAACCCUGAUGCAGCGACGCCGCGUGGGUGAAGAAGCGCCUCGGCACGUAAAGCCCUGUCAGCAGGGAAGAAAAUGACGGUACCUGAAGAAGAAGCCCCGGCUAACUACGUGCCAGCAGCCGCGGUAAUACGUAGGGGGCAAGCGUUAUCCGGAUUUACUGGGUGUAAAGGGGGCGCAGACGGCGAUGCAAGCCAGGAGUGAAAGCCCGGAGCCCAACCCCGGUACUGCUCUUGGAACUGCGUGGCUGGAGUGCAGGAGGGGAG